AACGAACGCUGGCGGCGUGCUUAACACAUGCAAGUCGAACGCGAACGGUUCCUUCGGGGACUUAGUAGAGUGGCGCACGGGUGAGUAACGCGUAAGUAAUCUACCCUCGCAUCGGGGAAUAACCCCACCGAAAGGUGUGCUAAUACCGGAUACGUCUGGGAUAAUGACUUUUUUACAGAGAAAGGCAGCCUCUGUUUACAAGCUGUCGUGCGGGGAUGAGCUUGCGUACCAUUAGCUAGUUGGUAGGUAAGGGCCUACCAAGGCGACGAUGGUUAGCGGGUCUGAGAGGAUGAUCCGCCACACUGGAACUGGAACACGGACCAGACUCCUACGGGAGGCAGCAAUGAGGAAUAUUGCGCAAUGGGGGCAACCCUGACGCAGCGACGCCGCGUGGAUGAUGAAGGCCUC
RNAcentral lists this ribosomal RNA (408 nucleotides) under uncultured bacterium. RNAcentral's name for it is "bacterial SSU rRNA". It matches the Rfam family "Bacterial small subunit ribosomal RNA", at positions 29 to 418 of the family's 1533-position model. The record is from RNAcentral.